This 3028-nucleotide ribosomal RNA is filed under the name Salmonella enterica subsp. enterica serovar Bredeney str. CFSAN001080. Its description in RNAcentral is "bacterial LSU rRNA". It matches the Rfam family "Bacterial large subunit ribosomal RNA". Lineage: Bacteria; Pseudomonadati; Pseudomonadota; Gammaproteobacteria; Enterobacterales; Enterobacteriaceae. The record is from RNAcentral.
GGGUUGUGAGGUUAAGCGACUAAGCGUACACGGUGGAUGCCCUGGCAGUCAGAGGCGAUGAAGGGCGUGCUAAUCUGCGAUAAGCGCCGGUAAGGUGAUAUGAACCGUUAUAACCGGCGAUACCCGAAUGGGGAAACCCAGUGUGUUUCGACACACUAUCAUUAACUGAAUCCAUAGGUUAAUGAGGCGAACCGGGGGAACUGAAACAUCUAAGUACCCCGAGGAAAAGAAAUCAACCGAGAUUCCCCCAGUAGCGGCGAGCGAACGGGGAGGAGCCCAGAGCCUGAAUCAGCAUAUGUGUUAGUGGAAGCGUCUGGAAAGGCGCGCGAUACAGGGUGACAGCCCCGUACACAAAAGCGCAUGUGCUGUGAGCUCGAUGAGUAGGGCGGGACACGUGGUAUCCUGUCUGAAUAUGGGGGGACCAUCCUCCAAGGCUAAAUACUCCUGACUGACCGAUAGUGAACCAGUACCGUGAGGGAAAGGCGAAAAGAACCCCGGCGAGGGGAGUGAAAAAGAACCUGAAACCGUGUACGUACAAGCAGUGGGAGCCCCACCACUAAGCCAGUGGUGAACUCCACAUACGCAUCCUUUGCUGAGGAUACGGUUAACGGAGCGCAAGCGACGUUCAACCUCAAAAGAAGCAGAGGGGGCUUAGUGGUGGGGUGACUGCGUACCUUUUGUAUAAUGGGUCAGCGACUUAUAUUCUGUAGCAAGGUUAACCGAAUAGGGGAGCCGGAGGGAAACCGAGUCUUAAUUGGGCGUUAAGUUGCAGGGUAUAGACCCGAAACCCGGUGAUCUAGCCAUGGGCAGGUUGAAGGUUGGGUAACACUAACUGGAGGACCGAACCGACUAAUGUUGAAAAAUUAGCGGAUGACCUGUGGCUGGGGGUGAAAGGCCAAUCAAACCGGGAGAUAGCUGGUUCUCCCCGAAAGCUAUUUAGGUAGCGCCUCGUGAAUUCAUCUCCGGGGGUAGAGCACUGUUUCGGCUAGGGGGCCAUCCCGGCUUACCAACCCGAUGCAAACUGCGAAUACCGGAGAAUGUUAUCACGGGAGACACACGGCGGGUGCUAACGUCCGUCGUGAAGAGGGAAACAACCCAGACCGCCAGCUAAGGUCCCAAAGUCAUGGUUAAGUGGGAAACGAUGUGGGAAGGCCCAGACAGCCAGGAUGUUGGCUUAGAAGCAGCCAUCAUUUAAAGAAAGCGUAAUAGCUCACUGGUCGAGUCGGCCUGCGCGGAAGAUGUAACGGGGCUAAACCAUGCACCGAAGCUGCGGCAGCGACGCUGAUGCGUUGUUGGGUAGGGGAGCGUUCUGUAAGCCUGCGAAGGUGGCCUGUGAGGGUUGCUGGAGGUAUCAGAAGUGCGAAUGCUGACAUAAGUAACGAUAAAGCGGGUGAAAAGCCCGCUCGCCGGAAGACCAAGGGUUCCUGUCCAACGUUAAUCGGGGCAGGGUGAGUCGACCCCUAAGGCGAGGCCGAAAGGCGUAGUCGAUGGGAAACGGGUUAAUAUUCCCGUACUUGGUGUUACUGCGAAGGGGGGACGGAGAAGGCUAUGUUGGCCGGGCGACGGUUGUCCCGGUUUAAGCGUGUAGGUGUGUGUUCCAGGUAAAUCCGGUUCACUUUAACACUGAGGCGUGAUGACGAGGCACUACGGUGCUGAAGCAACAAAUGCCCUGCUUCCAGGAAAAGCCUCUAAGCAUCAGGUAACAUCAAAUCGUACCCCAAACCGACACAGGUGGUCAGGUAGAGAAUACCAAGGCGCUUGAGAGAACUCGGGUGAAGGAACUAGGCAAAAUGGUGCCGUAACUUCGGGAGAAGGCACGCUGACACGUAGGUGAAGUGAUUUACUCAUGGAGCUGAAGUCAGUCGAAGAUACCAGCUGGCUGCAACUGUUUAUUAAAAACACAGCACUGUGCAAACACGAAAGUGGACGUAUACGGUGUGACGCCUGCCCGGUGCCGGAAGGUUAAUUGAUGGGGUCAGCGCAAGCGAAGCUCCUGAUCGAAGCCCCGGUAAACGGCGGCCGUAACUAUAACGGUCCUAAGGUAGCGAAAUUCCUUGUCGGGUAAGUUCCGACCUGCACGAAUGGCGUAAUGAUGGCCAGGCUGUCUCCACCCGAGACUCAGUGAAAUUGAACUCGCUGUGAAGAUGCAGUGUACCCGCGGCAAGACGGAAAGACCCCGUGAACCUUUACUAUAGCUUGACACUGAACAUUGAGCCUUGAUGUGUAGGAUAGGUGGGAGGCUUUGAAGUGUGGACGCCAGUCUGCAUGGAGCCGGCCUUGAAAUACCACCCUUUAAUGUUUGAUGUUCUAACGUGGACCCGUGAUCCGGGUUGCGGACAGUGUCUGGUGGGUAGUUUGACUGGGGCGGUCUCCUCCUAAAGAGUAACGGAGGAGCACGAAGGUUGGCUAAUCCUGGUCGGACAUCAGGAGGUUAGUGCAAUGGCAUAAGCCAGCUUGACUGCGAGCGUGACGGCGCGAGCAGGUGCGAAAGCAGGUCAUAGUGAUCCGGUGGUUCUGAAUGGAAGGGCCAUCGCUCAACGGAUAAAAGGUACUCCGGGGAUAACAGGCUGAUACCGCCCAAGAGUUCAUAUCGACGGCGGUGUUUGGCACCUCGAUGUCGGCUCAUCACAUCCUGGGGCUGAAGUAGGUCCCAAGGGUAUGGCUGUUCGCCAUUUAAAGUGGUACGCGAGCUGGGUUUAGAACGUCGUGAGACAGUUCGGUCCCUAUCUGCCGUGGGCGCUGGAGAACUGAGGGGGGCUGCUCCUAGUACGAGAGGACCGGAGUGGACGCAUCACUGGUGUUCGGGUUGUCAUGCCAAUGGCACUGCCCGGUAGCUAAAUGCGGAAGAGAUAAGUGCUGAAAGCAUCUAAGCACGAAACUUGCCCCGAGAUGAGUUCUCCCUGAGACUUAGAGUCUCCUGAAGGAACGUUGAAGACGACGACGUUGAUAGGCCGGGUGUGUAAGCGCAGCGAUGCGUUGAGCUAACCGGUACUAAUGAACCGUGAGGCUUAACCUUACAACGCCGAAG